Long non-coding RNA from Drosophila sulfurigaster albostrigata, 273 nucleotides. RefSeq lists it as uncharacterized. The transcript has 2 exons. The record is from RefSeq and is a predicted model, not a curated record. Lineage: Eukaryota; Metazoa; Arthropoda; Insecta; Diptera; Drosophilidae.
UUCCAUAACAAAGAAUAAGUAAUAAAACUCAAUCUAAAUCGUAAAUCAAACUAUUAAGAGAUAUGAUUAUUACGAUUUUGUGUAAAAAAAAAACAUUUAAAUUAUUGAAAUCAUCAGAAAUAUGAAUAGAUUUUUUUCAAAUGACAUUUCACAUUCCAUAUUUUAUUUAUUAAAUGAUUUUGUACAAGGUUUGUGUAAAUUGGAAAGGGGGUUGCUCUUCGUUUGUAAAUUACACAUUCAGUUGUUGGUAAGCCAAACGCCAAAAACGCUAAA